Adelges cooleyi (spruce gall adelgid) is the source of this 513-nucleotide long non-coding RNA. RefSeq lists it as uncharacterized. The record is from RefSeq and is a predicted model, not a curated record. The transcript has 2 exons. NCBI's taxonomy places the organism in Eukaryota, Metazoa, Arthropoda, Insecta, Hemiptera, Adelgidae.
UCAAAUGUUUUUCAAGUGUUUAGUACAUAGAGUUUCGUAUAGUAGUACAGUCGAUGUUAAAAGUAUUAUUCCAAGCACAAUGCCUUGUAUUAAAUGUAGUCUACUAGAAGCUAUUUAUAAUUUUAUAAUUAAAUUAGACAAAAUUGAACAUUCAAAUAUAGAAAAAUCUACAUCUAAAACAAAACUUGAGGAAUCUUUUGAAGAAGUUCUACACCAGACAAAAGAAUUACAAAAUGUAAAGAAUCUAAAAAUUGCACAACCCAUUUGGUCAAUUACACUGGAAUAAGUAGAAGAGGGGGUAUGUUUUAUACUCAAGAUUAUAAAAAUAGUCAAGACCAGCUAAUUCUUGAUGAAAAACAGUGGCGUACUCUGAUGGAAUUUCAAAUAUUCAACAACAUUGUGAACACAAUUCAAAACAAUGCAAAGCGAAUACAAUUAGGUUCAGAUUUUAGUUGUACUACUAACCCUAAAACAGAUUCAGUGAUAUUACGUAAUAAAAAUGAACGUAUGAAA